RNAcentral lists this ribosomal RNA (313 nucleotides) under Campylobacter fetus subsp. testudinum. RNAcentral's name for it is "partial 23S ribosomal RNA". It matches the Rfam family "Bacterial large subunit ribosomal RNA", at positions 2616 to 2925 of the family's 2925-position model. The record is from RNAcentral. Lineage: Bacteria; Pseudomonadati; Campylobacterota; Epsilonproteobacteria; Campylobacterales; Campylobacteraceae.
ACGUCGUGAGACAGUUCGGUCCCUAUCUGCCGUGGGCGUAAGAAGAUUGAGGAGAGUUGACCCUAGUACGAGAGGACCGGGUCGAACUAGCCACUGGUGUACCAGUUGUUCUGCCAAGAGCAUCGCUGGGUAGCUAAGCUAGGAUGAGAUAAGAGCUGAAAGCAUCUAAGCUCGAAGCCAACUCCAAGAUGAAUCUUCUUUUAAGAGCUCUAGUAGACUACUAGUUUGAUAGGCUGGGUGUGUAAUGGAUGAAAGUCCUUUAGCUGACCAGUACUAAUAGCUCGUUUGCUUAUCUUUAUAUAAGCAUCACUUC